Nerophis ophidion (straightnose pipefish) is the source of this 3177-nucleotide long non-coding RNA. RefSeq lists it as uncharacterized. The transcript has 3 exons. Lineage: Eukaryota; Metazoa; Chordata; Actinopteri; Syngnathiformes; Syngnathidae. The record is from RefSeq and is a predicted model, not a curated record.
CGUUUUUUGUGUCGGCUUCAAACUCGCACAGGAGAGAGAGGGAACCCUUCUGAUUAAAAGUUGCGAAAAGAGUUUUAAUAACUGCUCCGUACCUGCCGUGAUGUGCAGAGAUAAGGGAACCUCCAAACGUUGCCCAAACCCACAGCAGAGCCGAUGCCCGCCAGAGUGAACUCGAUCUGCCUGCUCCAUGUCGGCCUGCUGCUCGCUAGCUUUUCCAUUUCUGCUACUUCGCGUCCUUUGUCCAUGCUUUGGCUGUUCUGGGCCCAAACUGCACGGAAAAGGGGUUGGUAAUGUAAGUGACCGUGGGUGGUAUAACAUUUUUAUUAUCCGUAAUGAUUAGCAGAAUACGAUGACUCAGUGGUUUGAGAGUUGAGAGAUAUCCUGAUAAAAAGGGCAAUCGGAUAAAAUUCAUUAUUCUGUAAAAAUGUUUUACUAGCUUUUAGUAUGCUAAAUUGUGUGUCAACAUGCUACAUAUUUUUUUUUCAUAUACAAAACCCAAAACCAGCAAAGUUGGCAAGUUGUGUAAUUCGUAAAAAAAAACAGAAUACAAUGCAAAUCCUUUUCAACUGCAAAGACAAAAUAUUUAAUGUUCGAACUGAGGAACUUCAUUUUUUUUUUUCAAAUAAUCAUAACUUAGAAUUUAAUGGCAGCAACAUAUUGCAAAAAAGUUGGCACAGUGGCAUUUUUACCACUGUUUUACAUGGCCUUUCCUUUUAACUACACUCAGUAAACGUUUGGGAACUGAGGAGACCGAUUUUUUAAGCUUUUCAGGUGGAAUUCUUUCCCAUUUUUGCUUGAUGUACAGCUUAAGUUGUUCAACAGUCCGGGGUCUUCGCUGGCGUAUUUUACGCUUCAUAAUGCACCACACAUUUUCAAUGGGAUACACGUCUGGACUAAAGGCAGGCCAGUCGAGUACCAGCACUCUUUUACUACAAAGCCACACUGUUCUAACACGUGGCUUGGCAUUGUCUUGCUGUAAUAAGAAGGGGCGUCCAUGAUUACGUUGCAUGAAUGACAACAUUUGUUGCUCCAAAACCUGUAUGUACCUUUCAGCCUUCACAAAUGUGUAAGUUACCCAUGUCUUGGGCACUAACACACCACCAUACCAUCACUUUGCAUCAGUCCAUCUGAGAUGAGCUCGGGCCCAGCGAAGCCGGCUGCGUUUAUGGGUUUUGUCAGUGACGUGCAGUCAGGGGAAGCAGGUGAGGCAGUGCCUCACGUGCCAUCCAUCCAUCCAUCCAUCCAUCCAUCCAUCCAUUUUCUACCACUUAUUCCCUUUCGGGGUCGCGCAUGGAAAGAAAAAAAAGUAAAAAGAAAAAAAAAUAAUUACAUUUUUAUAUGUAUCCAGUGAUUAUACUUUAUAAAGUUAUUUUCCAUUUAACUUGACCAGUUUUAGAUUAUUUUUAUUCAAAAUCGCUAAAUUUUCCCAUUUGCCGUUCAAAUAUUGAGAAGAGACUUGCGGUGAGUCAGCAGCCAGUUGAGACUCACCAUGGAUUGCGCAAUUACUCGGCUAACUGCUGGCUGCUAUGCAGUGAGACCGUAUUGCUAUAUAAAUUAUAUUAUACAUUUCCAUAAUUUAGUUAGCUGAGGUAUAUACAGUAAUGUACAGUGUAUUUUGUCAACAACUGUAUGUGUGUAACGUAUUUCUUGUGCUGAGCAAUCAUAAAACAGCUGCGAAGACGCACUAUGUGAGAAACGUAUUCUCCCGCCUCAUGGUGGUAGAGGGCGCUAGUGAUCCCAGGGAUCAUCCUUGUGACAACUCGGCUGCAGAAUAAGUCACAACAGGCUACAGUUAGCAAGUCAAGUGCAGUGGCAGCGAUCGUUUAUUUUUUCCUCUCUCCUGGACUUUAUAAAACAGUUUUCUAAACUGGACUUUUAAUCGAAGCAGGAGGAAAUAAUUAAAGGAAGACCAACGCCGAAGCUAAAAGGUUUGCUUCAGACAGUGAUCUCCAUCGAGACGGAGAGACUUUUAAACCAGAAGAAAGAUAAGGAAGACUUCUAUAAACAAGUUAUCGAUGCUUUUGUUCAGAAGGAGCGGCGCAUGGACUUCAUUUAUGAAUAAAGGUAAGACCAUUAUAACGUUGUUUUUUUUAAUUAAAUGUGCUUUUUUGUGUGCUACAGUUUGUAUGUGUAAAGAAUGCUGGUAUGAACUUUUAAUCAUAACCCGUUAACUGCUGCCAAUCAAAUGGUGAAUAAGAUACUCUUUAGGGUUCAUAUGUUUGUAAAGCUGACUGUGAAGAAGUCAGUGCCUCACCAGCCAUGAACCUCACCGCACGUCACUGGGUGUUGUUGAUAAAUGGCUUUCGCUUUUCAUAGCAGAGUUUCAACUUGUUCUUACAGAUGAAGCGAUCAACUGUAGUUACAGACAGUGGUUUUCUGAAGUGUUCCUGAGCCCAUGUGGUGAUAUCCUUUACACACUGAUGUCGGUUUUGAUGCAGUACCCACUGAGGGAUCCAAGGUCCGUAAUAUGAUUGCUUACGUUCAGUGAUUUCUCCAGAUUCCCUGAACCUUUUGGUGAUAUUAGGGACUGUAGCUGGUGAAAUCCCUAAAUUCCUUGCAAUAGCUGGUUGAGAAAUGUUUUUCUAAAACUGUUCGACAAUUUGCUUACAAAGUGGUGAUUCUCACCCCAGCUUUUUUGAAACAUGCAGGCAUGUUGCAGAUUAAAUGUCACCCGUAUUACAGGCAUCAAAUUCCGAAUGAGUUGUGGAGGGACGGAGCCGACAGCGGGCCAGGGCAAAUGGUGGUCCUGCCCAAGAUGGCGGCCAGGAGGCGGAGCAUGCAGCAGAGCGGAGAGGCGGGGCACGCCUGGAGCGACACUGCAGCCGUCAGAAUCAGGUGCGUACACAACACGCCUGUUCUCAAUCACUGCAUCUUCUGCUGCAGCAUAAAAGGGGAGAGGAAGGAGCAAUCGUGGCAGAAGUAGGAGAGGAACCACCCGACAACGAAGACCACGGGAGCGAUGAGAUCAACCCAGAGCGAGAUGCCACCCCGCGGACGACGCAGCCACCGGCCACUCGAAUGUGCGCCGCGAAGAGCAGGAAGAGCCGGCGCACUAGAAAUUGGCGCGAUAGACGGGCAAGAAGACAUGAUUGUUGAACUAAGAUAUCAGAGUCAAACCUGUUACGAUUCGCCUUGUGUCGAUCGGCACUGCAACCCACACGAGGACGACUGGAGACC